AAGGGAAUCUUCCGCAAUGGGCGAAAGCCUGACGGAGCAACGCCGCGUGAGUGAUGAAGGUCUUCGGAUCGUAAAACUCUGUUAUUAGGGAAGAACAAAUGUGUAAGUAACUAUGCACGUCUUGACGGUACCUAAUCAGAAAGCCACGGCUAAUUACGUGCCAGCAGCCGCGGUAAUACGUAGGUGGCAAGCGUUAUCCGGAAUUAUUGGGCGUAAAGCGCGCGUAGGCGGUUUUUUAAGUCUGAUGUGAAAGCCCACGGCUCAACCGUGGGGGGUCAUUGGAAACUGGAAAACUUUAGUGCAGAAGAGGAAAGUGGAAUUCCAUGUGUAGCGGUGAAAUGCGCAGAGAUGUGGAGGAACACCAGUGGCGAAAGCGACUUUCUGGUCUGUAACUGACGCUGAUGUGCGUAAGCGUGGGGAUCAAACAGG
This 429-nucleotide ribosomal RNA is filed under the name Actinomycetes bacterium. RNAcentral's name for it is "Actinobacteria bacterium partial 16S ribosomal RNA". It matches the Rfam family "Bacterial small subunit ribosomal RNA", at positions 355 to 776 of the family's 1533-position model. Lineage: Bacteria; Bacillati; Actinomycetota; Actinomycetes. The record is from RNAcentral.